This 616-nucleotide ribosomal RNA is filed under the name uncultured Legionella sp. RNAcentral describes it as "bacterial SSU rRNA". It matches the Rfam family "Bacterial small subunit ribosomal RNA", at positions 242 to 849 of the family's 1533-position model. Lineage: Bacteria; Pseudomonadati; Pseudomonadota; Gammaproteobacteria; Legionellales; Legionellaceae. The record is from RNAcentral.
UAGCUAGUUGGUAGGGUAAAGGCCUACCAAGGCGACGAUCGGUAGCUGGUCUGAGAGGAUGGUCAGCCACACUGGGACUGAGACACGGCCCAGACUCCUACGGGAGGCAGCAGUGGGGAAUAUUGGACAAUGGGGGAAACCCUGAUCCAGCGAUGCCGCGUGUGUGAAGAAGGCCUGCGGGUUGUAAAGCACUUUCGGUGGGGAGGAGAGUAUCCAUGUUAAGAGCUAGGAUAUGAGACGUUACCCACAUAAGAAGCACCGGCUAACUCCGUGCCAGCAGCCGCGGUAAUACGGGGGGUGCGAGCGUUAAUCGGAAUUACUGGGCGUAAAGGGUGCGUAGGCGGUUUGAUAAGUUAAGUGUGAAAGUUCUGGGCUUAACCUGGGGUAGUCAUUUAAGACUGUCAGACUAGAGUAUAGGAGAGGGUAGUGGAAUUUCCGGUGUAGCGGUGAAACGCGUAGAGAUCGGAAGGAACAUCGGUGGCGAAGGCGGCUACCUGGCCUAAUACUGACGCUGAGGCACGAAAGCAUGGGAAGCAAACAGGAUUAGAUACCCUGGUAGUCCAUGCCGUAAACGAUGUCAACUAGCUGUUGGAUGCUGAUAAGUAUUUAGUAGCGA